Molecule: ribosomal RNA, 253 nt
Filed under: uncultured bacterium
Lineage: Bacteria
Description: partial 16S ribosomal RNA
Rfam family: Bacterial small subunit ribosomal RNA
Source: RNAcentral
UACGGGGGGGGCAAGCGUUGUCCGGAAUCAUUGGGCGUAAAGAGCGUGUAGGCGGCCAGAAAAGUCCGCUGUGAAAACUCGAGGCUCAACUUCGAGCUGUCGGUGGAAACUUUCUGGCUAGAGUCCGGAAGAGGAGAAUGGAAUUCCUGGUGUAGCGGUGAAAUGCGCAGAUAUCAGGAAGAACACCCGUGGCGAAGGCGGUUCUCUGGGACGGUACUGACGCUGAGACGCGAAAGCGUGGGGAGCGAACAGG